GGUAGGAUAGCUGGGUCAAAUGGUGGUUCCAUUCCAAGUUUUCUAAGGAAUAUCCAUACUGUUUUCUAGAUUGGUUGUAUCAAUUUGCGGUCCCAUCAGCAAU
RNAcentral lists this microRNA precursor (103 nucleotides) under Marmota monax (woodchuck). Lineage: Eukaryota; Metazoa; Chordata; Mammalia; Rodentia; Sciuridae. The record is from RNAcentral.